RNA transcript from Alligator mississippiensis (American alligator), 6481 nucleotides. RefSeq lists it as uncharacterized. The transcript is spliced from 3 exons. Lineage: Eukaryota; Metazoa; Chordata; Crocodylia; Alligatoridae. The record is from RefSeq and is a predicted model, not a curated record.
GGACUGACUCGUGCUGCUGCUGCUGCUGGGGCCAGGUGGGUAGGGCGGAAGGGGCAUCCUAAUGACCCCUUACAUUGACCCUAUUAUCUACAUCACACUCGUAACAUCCACACAAAAAAAAGUUGAUUAAUGGACAAGGUCCUUUUCCCUGGCACGUUCGUUUGCUUCUGCCUCCUGUCCUUCAUGAACCGAGGAGCGUGUUUUCUUUUUCCCCAGUUCUGCGUGGCCUGUUCCCCGUGCUCCAAGCGUGGCCGACAGGAUUUCGGUGACUGAAGUCAUCCCCUCUUUAAAUUUGAAUUCCUACCCCCGGCCCUCUAAACCUCAUUACAAAUCAGCCCGGCUGCCCAGCUCUUCCAAAAACCGUUGGGUUCGUGCUCUUGGCGCCUGCAAGGGUCUGCCGGAGCUGUCAGGGGUUGCUUAACCUCCUCCCGAAGCCUUGGGGAAAUGGAUGGUUUUGUCAGCCCCGACGAAGACCUGCUACCAGAUAACGGGGCAAAAAUCUGUAUCGAAGGUUUCAAGGUUGUUGGUUCUAGCCAUGUUGUCUGAGGACAUGGGUGGACAUGAAUCUUUUAUUCGACCAGCGAAAGGGUUGGGAAAAUCUUUUUUUGCAAGCUUUCACGGACAAACGCCCUUCUUUAGGCACACGGAGAUUUGAAGAAGGGCGUUUGUGCCCAAAAGCUUGCAAAGAACAAUUUUUUCCAGCUAUUUAGUUGGUCAAACCUCGUCUGCCUAUUUAAUGUUUUGGCUUUUUUAUACAUCAGUUCUUUUAUUUUCCUGUCUGGAUGGAUCCUUACUAUUAUUAGAUUCAUGAUUAUUAAUGGAUCUAUUGCUAUUCCUUCCUGAUACACUUAUUUUCUUUCAAUCUGCUGACCGUUGAUUUCUUCUCACGUGCUUUUCCCCUGCCAGCAGGGACGCUCAUUUGUGCAUGAAGUAAUCUGCAGUUCUGCCUCGUCUGGAAGGAGGUAUUCCCGGCAUUGCAGAUGUGAACAGCCAGUUCUUCAGCUAGCAGUGGUUGGUGUUGCCCCAUUGAAUUCGGUAUCCCGUUCUCACUCAUUUGUAUUUGUUUCUCUUUCUAGGCCUUGCUGAGAUGUCAAGCAUGUCUUACUCUGAAAUAAUAGUGCCCAGAAAGCUAGAAGCAAAGGAUGGCAUAGACAGCAAGGUUUUCCUGGUCAGUGUGGAGGAACUGAUGAAGAAACAGUGGAUCAACCCAUUGGAGAGUGCCAAAAAAUGCAAGUAAGAGUUCACUACCUAAAUUUAAUGUAUGUAGAUGUUCACACGCACUGAAUGUAGCGUUGUAGCUUGUCUCUGGAAAAGCUGUGUUGAAUGUUAGAGGUCAUCUCACUUGUGCUGGGAAUCUGUUGGGAAAUAUGGUACCUUACUUACUUGCAUACUGCAGGCCUUAUUCCUCUCCAAAAAAAGCCCCCCCCCAAAUUAGUUGCAUGUUUUAAGCAGGAUUGCUGAUUUUCAGUCUGGAAUAGAAGCCCCUUGCAUUGAUUACUGCUCCACACUGCAGCACCAGUAGCAUUACUAUUCAGGCAGCUCUAGGAGCCAGUGGACUUAAUGGCACAUUGUUUUUCACUGCACAGAUGUUAAUGCUCAUCUCUCCUUUUUAACAGUCUUGAUGUUUUUAACCAAUCUAACCUUUCUUUGCUGCCUGCUAGCUGCUCCUGGUCUCUCUUCCCUAUUUCAGAGUCCUGGAAACUUUAGCUCUUUGAAAAAUCAUAGAGCCACCCAUGGAGACCAGUCUUAAGCAGCAGCUAGGGAUUCAGCUUGUAGUUAAGCAGGAAAGGAGGGAGGGUGAAUGAGAUGAAGAUGAGGCUCUAUCCCUAUUCUGUGCAGCCAUAACUCUGGAAAAAUCUUUUUUUCUUUUUAUUCUGUCUUUCCAAAAAUGAGGUGCGUGCCUUAUUUGGGAGGGGUGGAGUGGGGUGUUGUAUACCAAAAAAAUACGGUCCAUCCGGGGCUUAUCUGUAUGUCUGGAGGCUGAAGACAUUUACCUCUACUCAGGGGCACUAUGCAUUGCAGGCUGCCCGCUCUACAUUUUUGUGUCUAAAUUCCCCAUUCGGUCUUUAUCCCCUGGGGACAGAUCAUUCCUGCUGACCUGAGCUUGUUAAUGAGGAUGUCCUGGGAGGCAGCAUCAAAAGCCUUGCUUAAAUCAAGGUAGAUCACAUCUAUUUCUCUUUCCCCAUCCAUAGGUCCUGUCACCUCUUCACAGAAGGGAAUCUGGUAGAUUAGGUGUGACUUGCUCUUGGUGAAUCCAUGCUGGCUGCUCCUGAUUGUUCGGUUCUUCUCUAGUACAUUCACAGUCUAUUCCCUAAGGAUCUGCUUCAUGUUCUUUCCAGGUAUUGGGAUCAAGCUGAGAUCUGUAAUUCCCAAGAUCCUCCUCUUCCCUUUUUUUAAUGGCGGGCACUCUAUUUGCUUUUUUCUAAUUGUUUGGGGUCUCACCCAUCCUCUGCAAGUUCUCAAAGAGGAUAGCUAAUGGCUCAGAAAUGACCUUAGCCAAUUCCUUCAGUGCCUUAGGGUGCAUCCCAUCCAGUCCUGCCAACUUGAAAGCACCUAGCUUCUCUAAGCAAUCCCUAACCUAUCCUUCGACUACUCUAGGCUAUUUGUCUCCUUCCCUAUCUUUGUUGCUAACUGUACUCAUCAUCUGGUAGCUGCCCCUAUUUUUGAAGGUUGAAAUACAAAAGGCAGUAAUAUUAUGGCCUCCUCUGCAUCACUCAAAACUAGAUUGCCUUCUGCAAUCUGUAAAGGGCUUCUUCAUCCUCUUGAUCUAUGUGGAAAAUCCCUUUUUUAUUGCCUUUUUAAGUCUCUCUCCAGCUGCUUCUCAAAUCAUACCUCAGUCUUCUAAUUUUCUCUCUGCAUUCCCAUGCAAUACCCUUACACUUUUUCUUAGUACUAUGACCAAGUUUCUACUUUUUGUAGAAUCUGUUUUUGAGUUUCAUCAUGUUGAAUAGAUUGCUGUCUGACCAGGCUGGCAUCCCGCUGCACUUUCCAUUCUUCCUGCACAUCGGGAUAGCUUGCUUCUGCAUCUCUAAGAUGACCCCUUUAAAGUACAGGCAGUUCCCAGAGGAUCUUACCCACCAGGAGUUUGUUGAAGUCUGCUUUUCUGAAGUCCUGUGUCUUGAUUCUGCUGUUCUCCUCCCUGCCCCGCUUUAAGAUGUUGAACUCUAUCGUUUCAUGGUCGCUAUCACCCAAGUUACCUUCCACCUUCACGUUCCUCCCUGUUUGUGAGCAGCAAGUUAAGAAAAGCUUCCCUCAUCCUUGGCUUGUCUGCCCUCUGUAUCUAAAAAGUUACCCCCAGCACACUCCAAGAAUUUGUAGGACUGCUUGUUCACUGUUGUGCUUCCCUCUCAACAGGCAUCCUGAUAAUUAAAGUCCCCCAUGAGAACCAGGGGCUGCAGUUUGAAAACUUCCAUCAGUUGUUUGAAGGAGACUGCAGUUUUGGGCUGCAUCAAUAGAAACGUUAGGUGCAAGACACAGGAGGUGAUAGUGCCUAUCAUUGCUGAUUGGAGAUCAGCAGUGAUUAGGCCUCACUUGGAGUACUGCAUGCAGGUUUGGGCUCCACACUUCAAAAAAGGAUGUGGAGAAGUUGGAGUCCAGAAGCAGGUGACAGAAAUCAUCAAGGGCUUGGAAAGCAAGUCCUUACAAGCAGAGGUGGAAGGCGCUAGAGGUGUUCAGCUUGCGGAAAAGGCACGUAAACAGGGACAUGACAGCUGUCUUCAAAUACUUGAAGGGCUGCCAUAAAGAAGAGGAAAAACAACUUAUUUUUGCUUGCUGCAGAGAGUAGGACAAGGACCCCUGGCUUGAAGUUGCUACAAAGUAGGUUUAGAUUGGAUUUUAAGAAAAAAAACUUCACUAUCAGAGCAGCAAGGUAGUGGGAUUAGACAGCUAGGGAAGUUGGGGACUCUCCAUCACUGGACGGGUUCAAGAAGAUGUUGGACAGCCAUGGGUCAAGGUUGAUUUAGGCGUAGCGAUGCCUGUGGUCUACUAUGGGGAUGUCCCAGGCUUCUGGGCUUUGCUGGUUGCUGCACAGGGCUAGGAGUAGUUCCAGUGCUGACGUUUUGUCGCUCAGGCUUCUUCCAUUCAUGUGCAAGCACCUAGUUUUUAACUUCAGACUCCUUUCAGUUUAUUAGCUGGAUAUAAAGUUCAGUCAUUUCACUAACUUUGCCUGUUUGGUCUCAUCAGUACUGGUAUUUCCUUCCUCCUUGUCGUUAAGAACUGCCACUUCCUGAGUCCGACCAUAGGUCCAUCUACCCCAGUAUCUCAUCUCACGCGGCGGAGGAGUGUGGAUGCCGAGGAGGAGCGUGAGCAGGUCAUGCCCAGAAUCUUCUACCCCCCGAUCCUCUUUCCUUGCGACUUCCAGCAAGCAGACUUUUAGGAAGCUCUGACUUUGAGGUUGUCCCGCGUCUCUCGUGCUCAAUAACAACCGUUGGAUCUUACCUCCAAGAAUGUGUUCAGUCCCCUCUUGGACUGGGUUAAGCUGUCAGCCUCCACAUCAUCUUCCGGCCAUGAAUUCCAGGAGUUAAUUGCACUUUAUUUUGUUUAAAGAAACUUCUUUUUGCUAGUUUUAAAACCUGCUACCUACUAGCAUUUACACUUACUCACUGGUGUUCCUUCAUCCAUUGGUGUAUCCGUUGUUUUCUUGAUUUUUAUCUUCCUCUGUAUUAAAGCCAGGCAUGGAGAUAGUAGACAGGUCUGGCUGUUAAUCAGCAUCCAGGCCCUACCCAGGCAUAGACCCAGGGGAAAAAAAGCACCAUAUGGGGCACCUCGGUUUAACUGCAGCCCCUCUUUCUUUUGCUGCCACAAAGGGUUUCAGGAUUAGGUUCAUCGCAGCAAGGAACUUUAAAUGAUUUCAGGUCUCUGUGCGAGAGAAGUUUAGACACUGCCUCAGCAUAUCUCAACUAGCAUCCCCCGCAACAAAAAAAAUAAAAAAUUGUCCUUAGGGUAGGGUUGGCAAGCUGGUCAAAUGACCAGUCAAAUAUUGGCAUUUGCCUGGUCACUUGAUUGCAUAUUUUUGGCCGGUCAAAGAUCAUAGCAACUUUACAAAAAAAACCCUAUUUUUUUUUUUGAAGUUUUCUUUACAGAAAUAUGAUUUUUAUUGUUUUUUGACACCUUUCUUAAUGGAACAUUUGUGCUUUUUCUGUGCAUUAUUUGGACUUAUUGGCAAUUUUUGACUGAUAACUUGACUGGUCAAUUGACUGAAUGGUAUUUGAUGGGUCAAAUACCCAACCCUACCUUAUGGAGUAGCAUUUCCUUGGACUGUCGGCAGCCACUGAAAAUUGAUUUGUUGGUAUAAUGUAAUUCUGUUCGAUGUCCAAUACUGCUGAGGAGAAUGGGCUGCUGUACAGAAUGAUCCUUAAUGGUUUUCUAUCCAGGUAAGCAGCAAAACACAAGUAUUGUACAGGACAGUAUUGUAAUAUAAUGAUCUGAUUUUUGCAUGCCACUUAACUCCCUGGGUAUGCUGCAUGAAAUCCUCUGUGUACUCCCGUACUUCCAGGAUAUUCAUGGUCGUCAGGUCUUGUAUGGACAUACCAGAUACUUAGAGUUAUUUUUUGUUAUGGACACAAAGCUGUAUACACAGGAUCACUGAAAUGAAUCUCGGGUGAUCAACUUAAUGCUUAAAUUGACCAAUCUGCUGAGCACUGUAAGUUUACACCAUGCAUGUGAAUUGGAGGAUGAAAUUCUCUCUUUUUUUUUUUUUAAUUACUCUCUUGACAAAAUCAAGGCAACCGCAAUUGUCAUUCUGCGUGAAACAAGUGGUCUGUCUAGUUGGGCGUCUUGUCUCACCAAGAGCGCUCACCAAGAUGGCUUAGUUCUCCUUUGCUCUAUGUCCAUGUUUCUCUCCCAUUAGGGCUGUGCAAAACUUCAGCAGCCGUUUCGUUUUGGAGAUGUUUCGGCCCAUUUUGGCAUCUGAAACGCUGAAUCCAAAUCAAAAUGGAACAUCUCCAAAACGAAAUGAAACUAUCCAAAACGUUUCUGAAAACUUUGGAGUUUCGGAGCGGGGCUUGCAGGGAAACAGAAGCAAAGAAGAGGGGCAGAAGGACUGCUUUGAUGCUGACUGUGGAGCUGGCCAGUGUCUGCAAUGUGUCCCUGAGGUCCGUCCAAUCCCAGUGCUCUGGGGGAGGGACGGCAGCCUAAUAUUUGCUCUGGUUUUCAGAUGUUCAGGACAGUUAAUGUUCGCAACUUUUCUGAUUGGAGCAGAGAUGUGGACGAAAAGAAACUUGGUGGCAGUUGUUGAUGAUGUGCUGAAGACUCAUAAGGCUUUUACUAAAUGGGCCGAAAAGUUCCUUAUUCCCCGUGUAUCUUUUGACCACGGACAGCUGCUUGUGUAAAUUUCUUUUCAUUUCAAUGAAUUAGACUAUGGAAAUGGCAUUUUAAAAUGUAAUUGUUUCUGUAGUAUAGGUUGUGAAAGCUUGCUAAAAAAAAAAUUUUUCCCCAACUAUUUUAGUUGGUCUAAUAAAAGAUAUCAGUUUCACCCAAAGAA